AGAGUUUGAUCCUGGCUCAGAUUGAACGCUGGCGGAAUGCUUUACACAUGCAAGUCGAACGGUAGAGGGGGCAACCCCUUGAGAGUGGCGAACGGGUGAGUAAUAUAUCGGAACGUGCCCAGUCGUGGGGGAUAACGUAGCGAAAGUUACGCUAAUACCGCAUACGAUCUAAGGAUGAAAGCGGGGGAUCGCAAGACCUCGCGCGAUUGGAGCGGCCGAUAUCAGAUUAGGUAGUUGGUGGGGUAAAGGCUCACCAAGCCAACGAUCUGUAGCUGGUCUGAGAGGACGACCAGCCACACUGGAACUGAGACACGGUCCAGACUCCUACGGGAGGCAGCAGUGGGGAAUUUUGGACAAUGGACGCAAGUCUGAUCCAGCCAUUCCGCGUGCAGGAUGAAGGCCCUCGGGUUGUAAACUGCUUUUGUACGGAACGAAAAGGUUUCCAUUAGUACUGGGGGCUCAUGACGGUACCGUAAGAAUAAGCACCGGCUAACUACGUGCCAGCAGCCGCGGUAAUACGUAGGGUGCAAGCGUUAAUCGGAAUUACUGGGCGUAAAGCGUGCGCAGGCGGUUAUGUAAGACAGAGGUGAAAUCCCCGGGCUCAACCUGGGAACUGCCUUUGUGACUGCAUAGCUAGAGUACGGUAGAGGGGGAUGGAAUUCCGCGUGUAGCAGUGAAAUGCGUAGAUAUGCG
This 693-nucleotide ribosomal RNA is filed under the name uncultured Limnohabitans sp. Its description in RNAcentral is "bacterial SSU rRNA". It matches the Rfam family "Bacterial small subunit ribosomal RNA", at positions 8 to 700 of the family's 1533-position model. The record is from RNAcentral. Lineage: Bacteria; Pseudomonadati; Pseudomonadota; Betaproteobacteria; Burkholderiales; Comamonadaceae.